Long non-coding RNA from Micropterus salmoides (largemouth bass), 1631 nucleotides. RefSeq lists it as uncharacterized. Lineage: Eukaryota; Metazoa; Chordata; Actinopteri; Centrarchiformes; Centrarchidae. The record is from RefSeq and is a predicted model, not a curated record. The transcript has 2 exons.
GCGUUAUGUUAAAUAAAUAAAAACAUUUCCACCAUAAAUUAGGGCAGAAACUUUCCCCAGAAUGCAGGAAAUGAAAUGUUUAAUGAUUAAAAUUUUGCGUAUCAUCAUGUCUUCUGAGCCCCUUUGUCCCCACAACUUUUCAACACAUGUAACGCCCUUGUAGGUUGCACAAUAGCAGGUGUGCUGUUUAUUGCCACACCUCCAGCACUGGUGCACUGUAGAUCACCUGGGGAUCUCCUCUCGGUCCUUGGUGCUGAACUUGCUUUUGCUUUUGCCGUCAAGACAGUGGCCCUCGGCCGCGGUCCAUGUGGUGAGGAGGACCCUGUGUAGCUCCCUACAGUAGUCAACACGAGGUCGUGAUUUAAAAAAUGGGUUUAUUUCUACAGCAUAUCAGACCAACCUGUGAGAACUGUGUGGAAAGGGAGGGAAAAUGCUAUAAAUGAAAUCAAUGAAUGUACGUCUUGAAUUCACAAAUUAUGCCACUACGUACGAGUUAGCACAAACUAUGCACUUGAAACGUAUCACAGAAAAACCAAUGCCAUCAAUCGGUGGAGCUGCCAGCGCAGCUUGGGGCACAACUGUCUGUUGCAGUGCCUUCGAUAUCACUGCGCCCUCCUUACAGUCACAGCCUGGGGCCCUCAAAACCUCGUCUUUCUCUUUUUCUCUGGGGCAGUCUAUGUGGGGGUUGUGUAGUUCUAAUUUUUAUUUAAUUUAAUUUUAAUGAAAUAGUACUGUUGAAAAUGCAACUAAAAUUCAAAAACUACAAGCUCCUUUUAGUCGUUUCAGCUGCACCACAAUCAUCCUCACUCAGAAAUAUUCACAUCCUCUCCAACAUGGAAAUUAUUAUAGGAAUGUUCCAUCAACAUGAAAAAUUAUUGUUCGUUGAUCAGUGACAGCUUCCUGUUCAAACAGAUUAGUUUGAACUGGACCUCCAGGGGUCCUUGAGGGUUUUCCAGGUGAUCCCCUCAAUUAUAAUUCCAUGUAACACAAUGACAAAACAUUUGACUACUUUGGUCAUGUGUAAUACACUUUCUGUAAUAAAACAUCUAAAAGCAGGAAUGUUAUCUGAUGGGUGAUCCUGGGACAAAAUCUUAUCAAAUGCGGUCUAUUCUGUGUCAGUAAAGGGGUGAAAACCACUGAUUUAACAGUGAUUAGCUUCUGCAGUAGCCUAAAGUAGCCUACGGUAAAUGUUGACAACCUGACAGGUGGCUUAAUGUCCACAUAGUCACAGUGUUAGCCUGAAGAUUUUAUUCUGAGCUGAGGUUGAAUCCAUGGCGUCUUUACAUCGAUGACAGAUUGAGCAUAAAAGCAGUCACGUUAAAGAUUAUUUGGUUAAUGAACUCAUAGCUAUCUAGUCUGGAUUUAGAUGUUUCUAUAGCUUCUGCAAAUGAAUGCGAUCCAUAUAUGCUUUGAAACUGACUGUAUGAAUUUGGAAAUUAAAUUGUGUCAGAAAGCUGCUUCAGGCUCUGCGGGAGGGGAGGAGUCACAGAGAAAAGAAAGAAAGUGAAAGACAGAUGCACUUCUUCCUAAAAGUCCUUGUAAAAAGAGUGAGGUGAAUAGUGAAAGCCAGUAGCCUUGGAGGGAACUGGAAAGAGUGAUUCUGACACCAGCAUGAACCAGGAGUUCAGAGG